UACGUAGGGGGCAAGCGUUGUCCGGAUUUAUUGGGCGUAAAGAGCGUGUAGGCGGCCGCACAGGUCCGUUGUGAAAACUGGAGGCUUAACCUUCAGACGUCGAUGGAAACCGUGCGGCUAGAGUCCGGAGGAGGAGAAUGGAAUUCCUGGUGUAGCGGUGAAAUGCGCAGAUAUCAGGAAGAACACCCGUGGCUAAGGCGGUUCUCUAGUACGGUACUGACGCUGAGACGCGAAAGCGUGGGGAGCGAACAGG
Molecule: ribosomal RNA, 253 nt
Filed under: uncultured bacterium
Lineage: Bacteria
Description: partial 16S ribosomal RNA
Rfam family: Bacterial small subunit ribosomal RNA
Source: RNAcentral